UUGCUCACAGCUACACAUGUAUCCGAUCUCUAUGAAAAAUUCACUCGAAGCCCCAAUCUGAUCGAUCUUCUCAAGAGUACUAGCUCGCGCGAAGACCUUCUUCUCGACUGAUCUAGAUUCUUUCUUCAAAUUUCUAGAAUCUUUUUAGAGAUUGAAGAUAGAUUUUUGGAAGAGAUGAAGAGAUGGAAGAAAGAUGGAGAAGAAACUAUUUUCUCUCUUAUUUUUCUCUCUUCCCAAACCCUAAGGUAGAAACCCUAGAAGACUAGAUUUUGCACACACCCC
Molecule: long non-coding RNA, 282 nt
Filed under: Elaeis guineensis (African oil palm)
Lineage: Eukaryota; Viridiplantae; Streptophyta; Magnoliopsida; Arecales; Arecaceae
Description: long non-coding RNA (EGUI_LNC052111)
Source: RNAcentral